This 86-nucleotide ribosomal RNA is filed under the name Oscillibacter sp. RNAcentral's name for it is "partial 23S ribosomal RNA". It matches the Rfam family "Bacterial large subunit ribosomal RNA", at positions 2841 to 2925 of the family's 2925-position model. Lineage: Bacteria; Bacillati; Bacillota; Clostridia; Eubacteriales; Oscillospiraceae. The record is from RNAcentral.
AAGACUACCUGGUUGAUAGGCAGGAGGUGGAAGCGCAGUAAUGUGUGCAGCUGACCUGUACUAAUCGCCCGAGGGCUUGACCUACA